AUUGAACGCUGGCGGCAGGCCUAACACAUGCAAGUCGAGCGGAUGAAGGGAGCUUGCUCCUGGAUUCAGCGGCGGACGGGUGAGUAAUGCCUAGGAAUCUGCCUGGUAGUGGGGGAUAACGUCCGGAAACGGGCGCUAAUACCGCAUACGUCCUGAGGGAGAAAGUGGGGGAUCUUCGGACCUCAUGCUAUCAGAUGGGCCUAGGUCGGAUUAGCUAGUUGGUGGGGUAAAGGCCUACCAAGGCGACGAUCCGUAACUGGUCUGAGAGGAUGAUCAGUCACACUGGAACUGAGACACGGUCCAGACUCCUACGGGAGGCAGCAGUGGGGAAUAUUGGACAAUGGGCGAAAGCCUGAUCCAGCCAUGCCGCGUGUGUGAAGAAGGUCUUCGGAUUGUAAAGCACUUUAAGUUGGGAGGAAGGGCAGUAAGUUAAUACCUUGCUGUUUUGACGUUACCAACAGAAUAAGCACCGGCUAACUUCGUG
This 484-nucleotide ribosomal RNA is filed under the name uncultured bacterium. RNAcentral's name for it is "partial 16S ribosomal RNA". It matches the Rfam family "Bacterial small subunit ribosomal RNA", at positions 30 to 507 of the family's 1533-position model. The record is from RNAcentral.